AUUUUUACCUCCCAUAUCCAAUGUUUGAAACAAUAUCUGCUGGGUUUUCUGGAUUGUUAUAACUGAAUAUUUGUAACCCAUAUACAUGCAUCACGUUUUUCAUUUUGUGGACUCUUCGUGAGUUGUUGUCCCUUACAAACGGUAUCCAUUUCUCUCUGGAUCCCAACAUCUCAAACAUACCGUGCCAAUAAAAUGAUUAUCUAUAUCUCUG
This is a non-coding RNA of Pelobates cultripes (western spadefoot toad), 211 nucleotides long. The record is from the annotation of a GenBank genome assembly. Lineage: Eukaryota; Metazoa; Chordata; Amphibia; Anura; Pelobatidae.